AAACUUGAGAGUUUGAUCAUGGCUCAGAACGUACGCUGGCGGCACGCCUAACACAUGCAAGUCGAACGAAGUAGCAAUACUUAGUGGCAGACGGGUGAGUAACAUGUGGGUAUCUGCCCUUUGGCCUGGAAUAACACGAGGAAACUUGUGCUAAUACCGGAUAAGUCUUUACGGAGAAAGCUUUAUGCACCAUUGGAUGAGCCUGCACUUGAUUAGUUUGUUGGUGGGGUAAUGGCCUACCAAGACUGUGAUCAAUAGCUGAUUUGAGAGGAUGAUCAGCCACAUUGGGACUGAGACACGGCCCAAACUCCUACGGGAGGCAGCAGUGGGGAAUCUUGCACAAUGGAGGAAACUCUGAUGCAGCGAUGCCGCGUGAGUGAAGAAGGCCUUUGGGUUGUAAAGCUCUUUCGUCGGGGAAGAAAAUGACUGUACCCGAAUAAGAAGGUCCGGCUAACUUCGUGCCAGCAGCCGCGGUAAUACGAAGGGACCUAGCGUAGUUCGGAAUUACUGGGCUUAAAGAGUUCGUAGGUGGUUGAAAAAGUUAGUGGUGAAAUCCCAGAGCUUAACUCUGGAACUGCCAUUAAAACUUUUCAGCUAGAGUAUGAUAGAGGAAAGCAGAAUUUCUAGUGUAGAGGUGAAAUUCGUAGAUAUUAGAAAGAAUACCAAUUGCGAAGGCAGCUUUCUGGAUCAUUACUGACACUGAGGAACGAAAGCAUGGGUAGCGAAGAGGAUUAGAUACCCUCGUAGUCCAUGCCGUAAACGAUGUGUGUUAGACGUUGGAAAUUUAUUUUCAGUGUCGCAGGGAAACCGAUAAACACACCGCCUGGGGAGUACGACCGCAAGGUUAAAACUCAAAUGAAUUGACGGGGACCCGCACAAGUAGUGGAGCAUGUGGUUUAAUUCGAAGAUACGCGCAGAACCUUACCAACACUUGACAUGUUCGUCGCGACUCUAAGAGAUUAGAGUUUUCGGUUCGGCCGGACGAAACACAGGUGCUGCAUGGCUGUCGUCAGCUCGUGUCGUGAGAUGUUGGGUUAAGUCCCGCAACGAGCGCAACCCUCACUUUUAGUUGCCAUCAUUAAGUUGGGCACUCUGAAAGAACUGCCAGUGAUAAGCUGGAGGAAGGUGGGGAUGACGUCAAGUCCUCAUGGCCCUUACGUGUUGGGCUACACACGUGCUACAAUGGUAUCUACAACAGGAAGCAAGACUGCGAAGUUAAGCAAAUCCCUAAAAGAUACCUCAGUUCGGAUUGCACUCUGCAACUCGAGUGCAUGAAGCUGGAAUUACUAGUAAUCGUGGAUCAGCGUGCCACGGUGAAUGCGUUCCCGGGUCUUGUACACACCGCCCGUCACACCAUGGGAGUUGGUUCUACCUUAAGGCAAGGUUUCAAACCCUUGACCACGGUAUAGUCAGCGACUGGGGUGAAGUCGUAACAAGGUAGCCGUAGGGGAACCUGCGGCUGGAUUACCUCCUUU
RNAcentral lists this ribosomal RNA (1475 nucleotides) under Candidatus Pelagibacter sp. RNAcentral describes it as "bacterial SSU rRNA". It matches the Rfam family "Bacterial small subunit ribosomal RNA". Lineage: Bacteria; Pseudomonadati; Pseudomonadota; Alphaproteobacteria; Candidatus Pelagibacterales; Candidatus Pelagibacteraceae. The record is from RNAcentral.